UACGGAGGGGGCUAGCGUUGUUCGGAAUUACUGGGCGUAAAGCGCACGUAGGCGGCUUUGUAAGUUAGAGGUGAAAGCCCGGGGCUCAACUCCGGAAUUGCCUUUAAGACUGCAUCGCUAGAAUUGUGGAGAGGUAAGUGGAAUUCCGAGUGUAGAGGUGAAAUUCGUAGAUAUUCGCAAGAACACCAGUGGCGAAGGCGGCUCACUGGCCCGGUACUGACGCUGAGGUGCGAAAGCGUGGGGAGCAAACAGGG
This 254-nucleotide ribosomal RNA is filed under the name uncultured bacterium. Its description in RNAcentral is "partial 16S ribosomal RNA". It matches the Rfam family "Bacterial small subunit ribosomal RNA", at positions 524 to 777 of the family's 1533-position model. The record is from RNAcentral.